RNAcentral lists this small RNA (128 nucleotides) under Enterobacteriaceae bacterium. RNAcentral describes it as "RtT sRNA". It matches the Rfam family "RtT RNA". From Rfam's summary of the family: This family represents a bacterial cis-regulatory element known as RtT RNA. The exact function of RtT is unknown although it is thought that it may be involved in changing the cellular response in relation to amino acid starvation. The record is from RNAcentral. Lineage: Bacteria; Pseudomonadati; Pseudomonadota; Gammaproteobacteria; Enterobacterales; Enterobacteriaceae. RNAcentral also lists the same sequence under 1 other name.
UGCUAUCUGCGAAUGCAUAAGAUUCGAACCUGCAGCAGGUUCGAGUCAAGCGAAGCGAGACAACGGAGCCGCUUGCGGCGACGACCCGAAGGGUGAGGCGAAGCCGAGUCAUCCUGCACGACCCACCA